CCUACGGGAGGCAGCAGUGAGGAAUUUUCCGCAAUGGGCUAACGCCUGACGGAGCAAUGCCGCGUGGAGGAGGAAGGCCUGUGGGUCGUAAACUCCUUUUCUCAGAGAAGAAGAUCUGACGGUAUCUGAGGAAUAAGCAUCGGCUAACUCUGUGCCAGCAGCCGCGGUAAUACAGGGGAUGCAAGCGUUAUCCGGAAUUAUUGGGCGUAAAGCGUCCUGAGGUGGCUUACCCAGUCGACUGUGAAAGCUCAAGGCUCAACCUUGAAACGGCAGUCGAAACUUGUAAGCUUGAGUACGGUAGAGGCAGAGGGAAUUCCCGGAGGAGAGGUGAAAUUCGUAGAUAUCGGGAGGAAGGCCAAAGGCGAAAGCACUCUGCUGGGCCGAUUACUGACACUGACAGACGAAAGCUAGGGGAGCGAAAGGGAUUAGAUACCCCUGUAGUCCUAGCCGUAAACGAUGGAUACUAAGUGUUGCGCGACUCAACUCGUGCAGUGCUGCAGACUAACGUACGGUAACGGUACGUACCCGUCCGUCGGGGAGGUAGUGCGUCGCGAAGAGUAGAACGUACAAAUAGAAGUUAGUACGGCGUGAGACGUACGCCGAACGGACGACCGACCGAGGGAGGAGGG
Molecule: ribosomal RNA, 629 nt
Filed under: uncultured bacterium
Lineage: Bacteria
Description: bacterial SSU rRNA
Rfam family: Bacterial small subunit ribosomal RNA (bases 1-530)
Source: RNAcentral